GGGGAUAUAGCUCAGUGGUAGAGCAUUCGACUGCAGAUCGAGAGGUCCCUGGUUCGAACCCGCGUGUCUCCU
This 72-nucleotide transfer RNA is filed under the name Saccoglossus kowalevskii. RNAcentral describes it as "tRNA-Cys". It matches the Rfam family "tRNA". From Rfam's summary of the family: Transfer RNA (tRNA) molecules are approximately 80 nucleotides in length. Their secondary structure includes four short double-helical elements and three loops (D, anti-codon, and T loops). Lineage: Eukaryota; Metazoa; Hemichordata; Enteropneusta; Harrimaniidae. The record is from RNAcentral.